Long non-coding RNA from Gorilla gorilla gorilla (western lowland gorilla), 389 nucleotides. RefSeq lists it as uncharacterized. Lineage: Eukaryota; Metazoa; Chordata; Mammalia; Primates; Hominidae. The record is from RefSeq and is a predicted model, not a curated record. The transcript is spliced from 4 exons.
CUAAACUGCACCAAGUUAUCAGGCUCAUCCUAAGGGUUCCGUAGAGAAGACAGAAAACAGGUCUUCAGUUUCCUUCUUUGGAGGCGACACUUUGACAGUUCCCGUGCACCUCUGAAGAGAGCUGAUACCAUGUGAAUGCCGUAAAGUGUAUGACACAAACCCGGAUGGUACAGCCUACUACACACCUAGGCCAUUUGCUACAGCCUAUUGCUUUUCGGCUAUAAACCUGUACUGCAUGCUACUCUACUGAAUACUGCAGGUUAAACUAGGGAACUAUCACUUCCCUACUCUCAUGAUUGUUGCUUGAACUCAGUUCUUGGAGGCCGUGAGAUCCAUGUUCUGUCACGUCUUCAAAGCCAGCAAGAAGUGAGAAGAAGGUUACACCCAGC